CAUCUUUAGUUGCCAGCAGGUUAAGCUGGGCACUCUAGAGAAACUGCCCGUGAUAAGCGGGAGGAAGGUGUGGAUGACGUCAAGUCCUCAUGGCCCUUACGGGUUGGGCUACGCACGUGCUACAAUGGCAGUGACAAUGGGUUAACCCCAAAAAGCUGUCUCAGUUCGGAUUGGGGUCUGCAACUCGACCCCAUGAAGUCGGAAUCGCUAGUAAUCGCGUAACAGCAUGACGCGGUGAAUACGUUC
Molecule: ribosomal RNA, 246 nt
Filed under: unidentified alpha proteobacterium groupC
Lineage: Bacteria; Pseudomonadati; Pseudomonadota; Alphaproteobacteria
Description: partial 16S small subunit ribosomal RNA
Rfam family: Bacterial small subunit ribosomal RNA
Source: RNAcentral